Panicum virgatum (switchgrass) is the source of this 2886-nucleotide long non-coding RNA. RefSeq lists it as uncharacterized. Lineage: Eukaryota; Viridiplantae; Streptophyta; Magnoliopsida; Poales; Poaceae. The transcript is spliced from 3 exons. The record is from RefSeq and is a predicted model, not a curated record.
GGCAUGGGAGCCGGCCCCUUCAGCGAGCAGAGGCUGGUCGCGAAGCUCAGUGAGUAUUCAGAGUAUCCUUUUUUUUCCAUGGUUACUUUCUUGCAUGCUCGCAAAUUCCGAAGCCUAGAUGUUUCUGUCCGUUUCAUAUUCAAGCAGCCCUACCUUUUGAAAGAUUUUAGUAUUUAUGUGCAGCAGUUUUGAAAUAUUUUAGUAUUUAUGUGCAGCGUGAUUUUUGAAAGAGUUCUUCAACUCUUAAACAGUCCCCCUGAUCUUGGCUAACCCUGAAACAAUUUGUCUUCUCCACGGAGCGGCCACAAUCCUUCGUCAGGCUGCUUCAAUUUCAGUCGGAUCCAGUGGUGCGCAACUUUGCUUGAUAAACUAGAAAUUUCAUAGAGAUGCAGAAUAUGACAUGAUACCUGGUUCUGAUUUUUCAAUUUUUUGGCAUCCCUCGCCCUCACAGCCUCCACCCAUUACCUCAAAGGUCAAUGAGCUCUCCCUCCAACUAUUGGUCUGUCAUGGAAUUUCAUUUAGAUAAUUUUAGCUGAUGGUUUGGUGAUUACACUUGGUUUGUUGAGGAAUUAUACUUCAUACAAUUUUAGUUGAUGGUUAAGAGAUGAUCAAGUCAAUCUUAAAAGUGUCGUAUAUUGUUUGUUUACUGUUUUUGCUUUGGAUGAUUUAGAUGGAAGGCCCAUCACUUUAAUAGGAUAAUGAUAGAGCAUCAACCUGUUAUGGCCUCCAAUUUAUUUACUGUGUCAAGCAUGCAUACUGAUAGGGCUUCAACAUAUUAGUAUGUGGCAAUGCUUAAGACACUUGCUAACCUAUGAAGCAACCUCUCAGUGUUUUACUGUUUUAAUAGGAAGGCAGAUUUCAAUUUAAAAAGUGAAACACGGGAACAAAAAAUUCCAAGUUGCAAUGAAAAAAAGUAAUUCCCAAAAGUAACCCAACUAAAGUUUAUCUUCAAUUCAUGCUGCUGAAAUUAGUCAGGAAUCCUUCUUCAGUUGCCAUAAAGUAGUGUAGCUUUUGGGACCCAUCUCAUGCCUGAAUUUCGUUGCCUUCUAAAAAUAUUUGUCUACACAGUCUAAAGAUAAUCCAUAAAGGGUACCCUUUGCUUGGUGAUACAAGGCAUUCUUCGAGUACCUCCAUCUUGUCUGAAUUAAUGCAUUGAGAUACAUCUCUCAGUAAAUAUUUGUGGGCUUACUCUGAUCACAACAUGCAUAUGAUGGACACUUUUAAUAUUGAAUUGUCUGAACCGCAUCAAGUCAAGGGAGUUUCCUUUGUAUGAUAUUUUUUGUUAAGAUGGGUUUGUUAAAACAACUAAUGUUUGUGGAAAAAAGUUGUCUGGUUGUUAAAUCCCUCUGACACUCUUUUCAGUGGCAUGCUCAACAAAGUAUGUUGUUUUUCUUACAUCACUUCUCUUAUUUUCAUAUACAGUAUGGUCCUCCUUUUGAAUAUACCUGUUAGCCAUAAUGUGCAUUGACACUGAUUGCAACAUGCCACGAGAUUAAACAUUUUUUACGUAUGCAUUACCUUCCCUGGGUGCUGCUAUUCUUGAUUGAAUGUGUUCUUGCAAGUACUGCUCAGCUUCACGCUACUCACUUUGCCUACUGAUAUUUUUCCUCUUACAGAAUUUUUCUUUGCUUUGUAAAGUUUUGUUUUAACAUCAUAUUCUUCAGUGGAUUUCUUGACCUGUGACUGGUGGAGGUUGAGCAAACGUCACUUUGCCUUUUAUCUGAUCUGAGCCAUUUCAUUGUCAUGUGAACGUUGCAAUAUAAUGCCCAGAAGAAUUCAAAGUAUGGCCGGCUCACGCCUUGUACUCAGAUUUAUGCGUUGUGGAUGAAAGUGAUUUCUGAUGCAUUCAGUGAGGUAAUAUUGUUUUCUUUUAAUUAAUCUACUAGACAUGCUGGAACGGGAUAAUCUUGGUCUGGUGUUUAGAGAACAUUGUAAUCUCAUCUUCAGGUAUAUCUUGUCCAGAAAAUUUUUGUGUUUGUCUUCUUCGCAAUUUGGGCCGAUGGAUGAUCAGGCUGCCAAGGCAUUCCGUCCCUUCUCCAUUUAGCAGGCCAAGACUUGCAGUGAACAAGGGUUACACAACGUGCCAGAUUUGAUUUAUACUUUUCCGAUGCUAGCACUGAGAGAAUAUAUAUAUAUAUAUAUAUAUACUUGAAGAUUGAUGCUUAUGGAGGUAAUUUAUAUGCCUGAGUUGCUACAUUUCAUAUAAUGAAGAUUGAUGCUUCACUUUUUCUCAAAAAAAAAAUGAUGCUUCACUUGUGUAUGGGAGCGAAUUCAAUAUCCACAUAAGGCUUCAGAAGAUUUCUGACAAGGUUCGAGAGGCACAAGGUGCGGAUCGUAGAGGCUAGGCGGCAGGCUGUGUUCGAGGUGGAGGCGCGGGUGCUUGCGUCAAGGAGGCGGCUGGCGGAGCUGGAGUCGAUGCAUGCAGAGGGUGAGAGGAUGAAAGCCGCCACACAGGAGCUGGACAACCUUAAGAGGGUUCACUCGUGUCUGAUGAAGAUAACUAGAGUAUGAGCUGCUAAUUUGCUCACAGAUAACUAGCUAUUUAAGCAGAUCUGUAAUUUAGUUAUCAGUGCACAACCAGAAAAUAUUGAUAGAGGUGCUUGUUAAGCAUAAGAGACAGGUCAAUGUUCUCUCCGACCACAUAGUUGGCUGGUUAUAUCUUGUCAUUAUUGAUGCUAUUUGUUCUAUACUUCUGUCCUUACAAAUUAGAAGCCUCCUGCUGUCCUCCAUGUCUUGUAGCAGUGUUCAGCAGCUGCGUUUUGUAAAACUGUAUGAUCUGUUCUGCGUGAGAUUGUUCAGGGCCCGUUUGGAUCCUAGGGAACCAUUGCAUGGCACAAUUCCUAGCCAGAUUGCUUGCGUAAUUGAUAUAACUUUUGAUUACGUGGA